CAGCCGCCGCGGUAAUACAGAGGAUGCAAGCGUUAUCCGGAAUGAUUGGGUGUAAAGCGUCUGUAGGUGGAUUUUCAAGUCCGCCGUCAAAUCCCAGGGCUCAACCCUGGACAGGCGGUGGAGACUACCAAGCUGGAGUACGGUAGGGGCAGAGGGAAUCUCCGGUGGAGCGGUGAAAUGCAUUGAGAUCGGAAAGAACACCAACGGCGAAAGCACUCUGCUGGGCCGACACUGACACUGAGAGACGAAAGCUAGGGGAGCAAAUGGGAUUAGAUACCCCUGUAGUCCCUGUCUCUUAUAA
RNAcentral lists this ribosomal RNA (301 nucleotides) under uncultured bacterium. RNAcentral describes it as "partial 16S ribosomal RNA". It matches the Rfam family "Bacterial small subunit ribosomal RNA", at positions 509 to 809 of the family's 1533-position model. The record is from RNAcentral.